CACCGCGGUUAUACGAGAGGCCCAAGUUGACAGACACCGGCGUAAAGAGUGGUUAAGCUAAAACUUAAACUAAAGCCAAACAUCUUCAAGACUGUUAUACGUACCCGAAGACAGGAAACUCAACCACGAAAGUAGCUUUAUUUAAUCUGACCCCACGAAAGCUACGGUA
This 169-nucleotide ribosomal RNA is filed under the name Cyclopterus lumpus (lumpfish). RNAcentral's name for it is "partial small subunit ribosomal RNA". The record is from RNAcentral. Lineage: Eukaryota; Metazoa; Chordata; Actinopteri; Perciformes; Cyclopteridae.